GUUCCGGUGGCUCAGUCGGUAGAGCGCCGCCUCGACACGGCGGAGGUCCCUGGUUCAAGUCCAGGUCGGAACAC
This 74-nucleotide transfer RNA is filed under the name Actinoplanes sp. NBRC 103695. RNAcentral describes it as "tRNA-Val". It matches the Rfam family "tRNA". Rfam says of the family: Transfer RNA (tRNA) molecules are approximately 80 nucleotides in length. Their secondary structure includes four short double-helical elements and three loops (D, anti-codon, and T loops). Further hydrogen bonds mediate the characteristic L-shaped molecular structure. tRNAs have two regions of fundamental functional importance: the anti-codon, which is responsible for specific mRNA codon recognition, and the 3' end, to which the tRNAs corresponding amino acid is attached (by aminoacyl-tRNA synthetases). tRNAs cope with the degeneracy of the genetic code in two manners: having more than one tRNA (with a specific anti-codon) for a particular amino acid; and 'wobble' base-pairing, i.e. permitting non-standard base-pairing at the 3rd anti-codon position. The record is from RNAcentral. Lineage: Bacteria; Bacillati; Actinomycetota; Actinomycetes; Micromonosporales; Micromonosporaceae.